This is a long non-coding RNA of Pseudoliparis swirei, 1147 nucleotides long. RefSeq lists it as uncharacterized. The record is from RefSeq and is a predicted model, not a curated record. The transcript is spliced from 2 exons. NCBI's taxonomy places the organism in Eukaryota, Metazoa, Chordata, Actinopteri, Perciformes, Liparidae.
UUAAUGUUUCAGCCUUUGACAGAGGAUCCCUUUGUCGUCUGCCUGCUCGGUUGACGAACUUCUCCUUUUUUGGCAAAUUAUGCCCAGGGCAGGAAGAACGGGGCCAGAGCCUGCGAUUGGCAUUCCUGACCUGGAUCGCAAUUUUUUUGUUGGACUCGUGCCGCUAGAAGUCGAUGGAAUGGCCUCGUGGUCUUCCGUCGCUUCUUGUCUCUCACGUGCGAGACGUCUUUCCACCUCUGCCAUGAAUUUUGUGUCCGUAAAUCUACGGUAGCACGUGUGAUGGAAGCCAGCAUCCUCGGGAAUAUUGUCAAACUCCAUAUCAACACAGUGUUUGAAGUGCAGCCACGUCCCGAGACUCUCCGUCCAACCCGAGCCACGUGUGUCGGCUUGUCCUGUAUGUAAUCCAUCGUGUAGUGGUGAAAUAAUGUACCUCCUCGUGCUUGACUGAAGUAAUAUGCAUAAAACAAUGUUUGUUUUUUGAUGUAUUAAAUUAUUAAUAUAUUCCGAUGUAUUUUCUUCGUCUUCCGUACUGCUCGAGGACGCCAUCUUGCCAUUCUGUUGACAAAAAGCAGCUACCUCAUUGGUGUAGAACGAUCACGUGUCGAACCGUGCCACCCCUCGUGACCAAGAUCCUAUUACGCUCUGGAGAAACUAGUUCGGCAUAAAACAUAGUCGCAUCGAGAAUCGACGGCAAAUUUAGCGACGGACUUUUUUUUGGUAGCUAAGCACGACUCUUUCUUUUUUAUGAACUAAAUAUUGUGUAGAUGCGCGACUGUGGGUGUGGCGCGGGAUUCAUUUUCUAAAGGACUUUUCGUGGUUCACCUUGCGGCCUACAUGUCCGUUAGGUCCCCAUCUACAGAGAACCGCCCGUCGCUCGAGGGAAGUGAAGAAGAGCCAGGAUCCAGUCGACCGAUUGAACGUAGAGGACUACGACGACAGGCGGCGCCCGCCGGUGUGGCCCGAAGCAUCCGGCGUGAACCAUCCGUGGACAAAGUCCCGCCGCCGCCCACCUGCCUCUGGUCUCCUGAAGCGAGACGGAGAAAAUGAUCAUCCGUCUCCACAGUGACUUAGUCAAGAACAUAUCUGAAAACAUCUUUUGAUUUCUUUUGUAGCCAAUUAAUGAAAAUGAAAUAAAUUGUUCACCUUA